RNAcentral lists this non-coding RNA (26 nucleotides) under Cricetulus griseus (Chinese hamster). Lineage: Eukaryota; Metazoa; Chordata; Mammalia; Rodentia; Cricetidae. The record is from RNAcentral.
CAUGAGCCACCUGAAUGGACACAAGC